RNAcentral lists this ribosomal RNA (495 nucleotides) under uncultured bacterium. Its description in RNAcentral is "partial 16S ribosomal RNA". It matches the Rfam family "Bacterial small subunit ribosomal RNA", at positions 30 to 507 of the family's 1533-position model. The record is from RNAcentral.
UGAACGCUGGCGGCGUGCCUAAUACAUGCAAGUCGAGCGAACGGACGAGAAGCUUGCUUCUCUGAUGUUAGCGGCGGACGGGUGAGUAACACGUGGAUAACCUACCUAUAAGACUGGGAUAACUUCGGGAAACCGGAGCUAAUACCGGAUGAUAUUUUUAACCGCAUGGUUCAAAAGUGAAAGACGGUCUUUCUGUCACUUAUAGAUGGAUCCGCGCUGCAUUAGCUAGUUGGUAAGGUAACGGCUUACCAAGGCAACGAUGCAUAGCCGACCUGAGAGGGUGAUCGGCAACACUGGAACUGAGACACGGUCCAGACUCCUACGGGAGGCAGCAGUAGGGAAUCUUACGCAAUGGGCGAAAGCCUGACGGAGCAAAGCCGCGUGAGUGAUGAAGGUCUUCGGAUCGUAAAACUCUGUUAUUAGGGAAGAACAUAUGUGUAAGAAACUGUGCACAUAGUGACGGUACCUAAUCAGAAAGCCACGGCUAACUACGUG